UACGAAGGGGGCUAGCGUUGCUCGGAAUCACUGGGCGUAAAGGGUGCGUAGGCGGGUCUUUAAGUCAGGGGUGAAAUCCUGGAGCUCAACUCCAGAACUGCCUUUGAUACUGAGGAUCUUGAGUUCGGGAGAGGUGAGUGGAACUGCGAGUGUAGAGGUGAAAUUCGUAGAUAUUCGGAAGAACACCAGUGGCGAAGGCGGCUCACUGGACUGGUAUUGACGCUGAGGCGCGAAAGCGUGGGGAGCAAACAGG
RNAcentral lists this ribosomal RNA (253 nucleotides) under uncultured bacterium. Its description in RNAcentral is "partial 16S ribosomal RNA". It matches the Rfam family "Bacterial small subunit ribosomal RNA", at positions 524 to 776 of the family's 1533-position model. The record is from RNAcentral.